RNAcentral lists this ribosomal RNA (505 nucleotides) under uncultured bacterium. RNAcentral describes it as "partial 16S ribosomal RNA". It matches the Rfam family "Bacterial small subunit ribosomal RNA", at positions 29 to 523 of the family's 1533-position model. The record is from RNAcentral.
AGUGAACGCUGGCGGUAGGCCUAACACAUGCAAGUCGAACGGCAGCACAGGAGAGCUUGCUCUCUGGGUGGCGAGUGGCGGACGGGUGAGGAAUACAUCGGAAUCUAAUCUGUCGUGGGGGAUAACGUAGGGAAACUUACGCUAAUACCGCAUACGACCUAAGGGGGAAAGCAGGGGAACUUCGGACCUUGCGGGGUUGAAUGAGCCGAUGUCGGAUUAGCUAGUUGGCGGGGUAAAGGCCCACCAAGGAGACGAUCCGUAGCUGGUCUGAGAGGAUGAUCAGCUACACUGGAACUGAGACACGGUCCAGACUCCUACGGGAGGCAGAAGUGGGGAAUAUUGGACAAUGGGCGCAAGCCUGAGCCAGCCAUACCGCGUGGGUGAAGAAGGCCUUCGGGUUGUAAGCCCUUUUGUUGGGAAAGAAAUCCAGCUGGCUAAUACCCGGUUGGGAUGACGGUACCCAAAGAAUAAGCACCGGCUAACUUCGUGCCAGCCGCCGCAGUAA